UACGUAGGGUGCAAGCGUUGUCCGGAAUUAUUGGGCGUAAAGAGCUCGUAGGCGGUUCGUCGCGUCGGCUGUGAAAACCCGGAGCUUAACUCCGGGCCUGCAGUCGAUACGGGCGGACUUGAGUUCGGCAGGGGAGACUGGAAUUCCUGGUGUAGCGGUGAAAUGCGCAGAUAUCAGGAGGAACACCGGUGGCGAAGGCGGGUCUCUGGGCCGAUACUGACGCUGAGGAGCGAAAGCGUGGGGAGCGAACAGG
Molecule: ribosomal RNA, 253 nt
Filed under: uncultured prokaryote
Description: partial 16S ribosomal RNA
Rfam family: Bacterial small subunit ribosomal RNA
Source: RNAcentral